CUACUAAUCAAAUAUAUGCCUUUUCUAGAGCUUUACAGUCUCAUGAAAUCAAAAAUGACACCUGAACUGCAGAGCUAACAAAUCCUCUGAGCGAUGGAAUCAACUGAAAAAUGACAGAAAUGACAGCGGUCAGUGAAAGAAAUCUGGGACUUCUACACUUCAGGCAUUCAGGGAGGAAGAGGAAACAAACAGCACAGGGUGAAGUCUCAAUGAGAAGACCUUCCUGUGCCACAGAGGAGGACAGGACAUUUGACAGCUUUUGAUUUCCUGGACGUUGUCAGAUCACUUAUGCCAAGCCUCAGAAAAGACUGUCAAGAAGAUACUUAUCUUUUGCAUGCUUGAGUAAAGGUAUGCAGGAUGGUAAGACUGAGGGGCUAGGAGGAUUAUAAUGGUAUGGUUAGCUUUUUACCUCUAUGUCACAAGUUCAAAUAUAGGCCAAGAGGAAUAUUUCCCAUUCGUUACAGCUGCUCUUCAGUGGCUUUGAAAAAUAGGUUGGUGAUAAUGACUUAGUCCUAGUGUGUAGACAGGUAACUCUUGUACAGUACAAGAUUCAAAGACUGAAGCAAACUGGCAGACUAAGGCCACCAGUAAUCAAGAACUGUGGUUCAGAUUUUUAAAUGUAUCUACUUGUUUUUAACAUGCAAGCAGUUGCCUAUUGCAGUUUUUAGGAGCUUGAAUCUCUCACCUCCAGCCGAAGUAAGUGAAGUUCUGCUACCUAAGCCCUUUACACAAAUCUAAGUAGCCAUUUAUCUGAAACACUGAAUACCUUUAAAAAUUACAGCCUAGUGUCCUCAACAAAUUUUCAGUGCUACCUUGCUUCAUCACUGUUCAGUACAGCCUCAGUAAUCUUCUGAUUUCCCCCUCGUUUACACCAGCACAUAUUGUAAAAGAGAAGAUGGAUGGCACAGUUUAUUAGCUUUCAAGUACACUGCUGCAAGCAAAGUCUCCUUUCACAGCAAUGUCUUCCACUCRUAUCAGAGAUAGCAGACUAGUAUAGAGAUGAAGCUG
This 1008-nucleotide long non-coding RNA is filed under the name Dromaius novaehollandiae (emu). RNAcentral's name for it is "lncRNA (ENSDNVG00000012688.1)". Lineage: Eukaryota; Metazoa; Chordata; Aves; Casuariiformes; Dromaiidae. The record is from RNAcentral.